CAGUAGCCGCGGUAAUACGAAGGGUGCAAGCGUUACUCGGAAUUACUGGGCGUAAAGCGUGCGUAGGUGGUGGUUUAAGUCCGUUGUGAAAGCCCUGGGCUCAACCUGGGAAUUGCAGUGGAUACUGGGUCACUAGAGUGUGGUAGAGGAUAGUGGAAUUUCCGGUGUAGCAGUGAAAUGCGUAGAGUUCGGAAGGAACAUCUGUGGCGAAGGCGACUAUCUGGGCCAACACUGACACUGAGGCACGAAAGCGUGGGGAGCAAACAGGAUUAGAUACCCCAGUAGUCCCUGUCUCUUAUAC
This 301-nucleotide ribosomal RNA is filed under the name uncultured bacterium. RNAcentral's name for it is "partial 16S ribosomal RNA". It matches the Rfam family "Bacterial small subunit ribosomal RNA", at positions 509 to 807 of the family's 1533-position model. The record is from RNAcentral.